GCAUUAUAGUCAUUUCACAAUAAAGGAGAGAUCAGACGGCAAAACGGACAUCACUUUUGAACUCAGGACGGUCGAAAACCUUAGGAGGAGCAUAAAAGGAAAAAUGGCACUAUUCACAUGUACAGUACUAUUCACGUGUAUGGUACUGUAUACGUUACUGUUCACGACACUGUUCACAUAAACGGAUGAUGACGUGGCAUUGACCGAUGAUGUGGCAUUGACUAAUGAGGUGUCACGAUCCUGUUGGACUAAAAUUCUUAUGUACUGUUGAUGGUGACGUGGCAGCAUAUCAGUGGACGAAAAAUCUCGCGUACGGUGCAUGCAUCACACAGGAUUAUUUUCAACCAAACCGCGUUACUGUUCAUCCGGGUCAAACCGCGUUACUGUUCAAAGUCGGGUCAAACUGUGUUACUGUUCAUCCGCGUGGUCAAACCGUGGACUGUUGACUGAUGACGUGGCGCAAUCAUGAGCGUCCAAACUGUUUUUAAUCCGAUGGCCAUGAUUUACUCCAUGUAUCUAUAAAAAGGGGGCAUCCCCCCCCUAAUUUGAUAUCUCUGAAUCCAUUUUU
Molecule: long non-coding RNA, 568 nt
Filed under: Citrus x clementina
Lineage: Eukaryota; Viridiplantae; Streptophyta; Magnoliopsida; Sapindales; Rutaceae
Description: Citrus clementina (C. clementina) long non-coding RNA (CCLE_LNC003456)
Source: RNAcentral